CGCAUAAAACAAACUGACGGCCAUUUGCACGUGACGUCACUCUCUUCCAAACUCCGCCCACUCCGCCAUGACGGAAAGGUAGUCUAAAAACAGACAUCUGUAAGCUAAUAUCGCUUUUAUUUAGCUGAUUUCACUUUAAGAAUGGUCAUAGGGUGCUGCGCGGUUGGCUGCUGAAACAUACAAGGUUAGAAACCAAACUUGUAAUUUUAUUUUAUGACUUUUAAUGAGGAAAGUUACAGCCGUUAAUAAUACCGGCAGCCCUGAUUUGCUGCGAACACUUUCUACAAGGUUCUUUAUCAGACACGGGAUAAGCUCCGACUCUGCUGACUCUGCUGCCGAGCUGACCACAGCAGAUGGAGGUCAGCGGUGUAUUCCCCCUCCUCUGCUCGCUGCUGCAGCAGUUACACGGUUUAAUAGGAUCUUUCUCCGGCUAACCUACUGGGACCAGGGCUGAUACUGGAUCAACUGUUCCAGCCUUCAUGGCUGUGUUUGUGUGUGGAAUAUAAAUGUGGUGGCAACUGUGUGUGCUUUCAGACAACA
Molecule: long non-coding RNA, 540 nt
Organism: Poecilia latipinna (sailfin molly)
Lineage: Eukaryota; Metazoa; Chordata; Actinopteri; Cyprinodontiformes; Poeciliidae
Exons: 2
Source: RefSeq, a predicted model, not a curated record